UCGAGGACCUGGUACUCAAGAGGGGGCUCAUGUCCUAUCAGCUUGUUGGUGGGGUAACGGCCUACCAAGGCUACGACGGGUAGCUGGUCUGANAGGGUGAUCAGCCACACUGGCACUGAGAUACGGGCCAGACUCCUACGGGAGGCAGCAGUGAGGAAUAUUGCGCAAUGGGCGAAAGCCUGACGCAGCGACGCCGCGUGGAGGAUGAAGGUUUUCGGAUUGUAAACCCCUUCAUGAGGAAAGAUAAAGUGGGUAACCACUUAGACGGUACCUCAAGAAGAAGCCACGGCUAACUUCGUG
RNAcentral lists this ribosomal RNA (300 nucleotides) under uncultured bacterium. RNAcentral's name for it is "bacterial SSU rRNA". It matches the Rfam family "Bacterial small subunit ribosomal RNA", at positions 200 to 507 of the family's 1533-position model. The record is from RNAcentral.